Molecule: ribosomal RNA, 840 nt
Filed under: Salmonella enterica subsp. enterica serovar Thompson
Lineage: Bacteria; Pseudomonadati; Pseudomonadota; Gammaproteobacteria; Enterobacterales; Enterobacteriaceae
Also listed under: 3 other names
Description: partial 23S ribosomal RNA
Rfam family: Bacterial large subunit ribosomal RNA
Source: RNAcentral
CCGUGAACCUUUACUAUAGCUUGACACUGAACAUUGAGCCUUGAUGUGUAGGAUAGGUGGGAGGCUUUGAAGUGUGGACGCCAGUCUGCAUGGAGCCGACCUUGAAAUACCACCCUUUAAUGUUUGAUGUUCUAACGUGGACCCGUAAUCCGGGUUGCGGACAGUGUCUGGUGGGUAGUUUGACUGGGGCGGUCUCCUCCUAAAGAGUAACGGAGGAGCACGAAGGUUGGCUAAUCCUGGUCGGACAUCAGGAGGUUAGUGCAAUGGCAUAAGCCAGCUUGACUGCGAGCGUGACGGCGCGAGCAGGUGCGAAAGCAGGUCAUAGUGAUCCGGUGGUUCUGAAUGGAAGGGCCAUCGCUCAACGGAUAAAAGGUACUCCGGGGAUAACAGGCUGAUACCGCCCAAGAGUUCAUAUCGACGGCGGUGUUUGGCACCUCGAUGUCGGCUCAUCACAUCCUGGGGCUGAAGUAGGUCCCAAGGGUAUGGCUGUUCGCCAUUUAAAGUGGUACGCGAGCUGGGUUUAGAACGUCGUGAGACAGUUCGGUCCCUAUCUGCCGUGGGCGCUGGAGAACUGAGGGGGGCUGCUCCUAGUACGAGAGGACCGGAGUGGACGCAUCACUGGUGUUCGGGUUGUCAUGCCAAUGGCACUGCCCGGUAGCUAAAUGCGGAAGAGAUAAGUGCUGAAAGCAUCUAAGCACGAAACUUGCCCCGAGAUGAGUUCUCCCUGAGACUUAGAGUCUCCUGAAGGAACGUUGAAGACGACGACGUUGAUAGGCCGGGUGUGUAAGCGCAGCGAUGCGUUGAGCUAACCGGUACUAAUGAACCGUGAGGCUUAACCUU